GAUGAACGCUGGCGGCGUGCCUAAUACAUGCAAGUCGAGCGAACAGACGAGGAGCUUGCUCCUCUGACGUUAGCGGCGGACGGGUGAGUAACACGUGGAUAACCUACCUAUAAGACUGGGAUAACUUCGGGAAACCGGAGCUAAUACCGGAUAAUAUAUUGAACCGCAUGGUUCAAUAGUGAAAGACGGUUUUGCUGUCACUUAUAGAUGGAUCCGCGCCGCAUUAGCUAGUUGGUAAGGUACCGGCUUACCAAGGCAACGAUGCGUAGCCGACCUGAGAGGGUGAUCGGCCACACUGGAACGGAGACACGGUCCAGGCUCCUACGGGAGGCAGCAGUAGGGAAUCUUACGCAAUGGGCGAAAGCCUGACGGAGCAGCGCCGCGUGAGUGAUGAAGGUCUUCGGAUCGUAAAACUCUGUUAUUAGGGAAGAACAAAUGUGUAAGUAACUAUGCACGUCUUGACGGUACCUAAUCAGAAAGCCACGGCUAACUACGUG
Molecule: ribosomal RNA, 497 nt
Filed under: uncultured bacterium
Lineage: Bacteria
Description: partial 16S ribosomal RNA
Rfam family: Bacterial small subunit ribosomal RNA
Source: RNAcentral